Molecule: non-coding RNA, 229 nt
Filed under: Heyndrickxia sporothermodurans
Lineage: Bacteria; Bacillati; Bacillota; Bacilli; Caryophanales; Bacillaceae
Description: Bacillus sporothermodurans T-box sequence
Rfam family: T-box leader
About the family: Uncharged tRNA acts as the effector for transcription antitermination of genes in the T-box leader family. T-boxes are found upstream of many aminoacyl-tRNA synthetase genes and some amino acid biosynthetic genes usually in Gram-positive bacteria. The anticodon of a specific tRNA base pairs to a specifier sequence within the T-box motif, and the NCCA acceptor tail of the tRNA base pairs to a conserved bulge in the T-box antiterminator hairpin.
Source: RNAcentral
AAAAAACCAAUGAUAAAGCACAGUAAUUAAGAAACACAUGAAAAGAGAAGAAAUGUCUUAGGCUGAAAGCAUUUCUACAUGAUGACUUAAUGAAUGAACACUUUGUAGGUUUCAUCCUGAACGGAUUUAUCUUAAUAGGGAUGAACGUAGAACAGGCGUUAACUGUUUCGAGUGGAAGCAUUUUGCUUCAAUUAGGGUGGCACCACGGGAAACAACUCUCGUCCCUUGU